ACGCUCGACACCUACGGGAGGCAGCAGUGGGGAAUAUUGCACAAUGGGGGAAACCCUGAUGCAGCGACGCCGCGUGAGCGAAGAAGUAUUUCGGUAUGUAAAGCUCUAUCAGCAGGGAAGAAACUGACGGUACCUGACUAAGAAGCCCCGGCUAACUACGUGCCACAGCCGCGGUAAUCUGAGCGGGCUGGCAAGGC
RNAcentral lists this ribosomal RNA (197 nucleotides) under uncultured bacterium. RNAcentral's name for it is "partial 16S ribosomal RNA". It matches the Rfam family "Bacterial small subunit ribosomal RNA", at positions 328 to 539 of the family's 1533-position model. The record is from RNAcentral.